Non-coding RNA from Pimephales promelas (fathead minnow), 435 nucleotides. Lineage: Eukaryota; Metazoa; Chordata; Actinopteri; Cypriniformes; Leuciscidae. The record is from RefSeq and is a predicted model, not a curated record.
UCUCUCAAUAAGAUCUUUUUAAAAUUUCUUUUUUUAAUUAAAAUAUGUGUCGACAUUUUUCCUCAAUGUAUGCUCUUUCUUCCACAUUAAUUAGAGCCGCGGUAAAAUUAAAAUACAACAGUUAGUCCAAGUACUUUCGACGGUGAAGGAUGAGCAGUCAGGCUUCUGACCGAGGGUCAUACCGAGGGUCAUGGAGGGGUGCAAACAGUUCAUCUGCUGGAGGAAGAGGAUGGAGAGGAGGAAGAGGAUGGAGAGGCCAUCAGUGGAGCAGAGGAGGAGGAGGAAGAGGAAGAGGGAACUAUUCCACCAACAAUACACAAAAUAGAUUUACUCCACAAGUUAGUCAAGCAACCCUUGAUAUCACGUGUCCAUACAAAGGAUGGCGACUCUAUUUUUCUGAAGGAUUUGUUGAAAGUUCACCUUAUGUCGAGAAGA